UUUCCGUAGGUGAACCUGCGGAAGGAUCAUUGACGAAGGCGAGAAUUGUAAAAAGAUUCUCGUUUGAUCAACCACAAUCCAAAAGUGCGAGUAAAGUAAAAUGGGGAGACCCAUUUACGAUGUAUAUUAAUAAAACAAGACUUUCAACAACGGAUCUCUUGGCUCUUGCAUCGAUGAAGAACGCAGCGAAUUGCGACAAGUAGUGUGAAUUGCAGAAUUCCGUGAAUCAUCGAGUCCCUGAACGCAUAUUGCACCUUUUGGUAUUCCGAAAGGUAUGCCUGUUUGAGGGUCAUUGAAUCAAUCGGUACGCGAAUACUUUUUGUGUAUCGGAAUGUUGAGCUUUUCGUAAUAUUUAUUAUGAUUGCUAGAAAUUCGAAGCACUGGUCUCGGCCUAAUAUAGAGACGCGUUUACGGUGGCUUGCUACCAAUUUUUCACAACUUUUAGGUCGAAUUCCAAGCUGGUUUGGGCAUUUUCUCGAGGAAAGAAAAGGCGCAUACAAUUUAAUUUUUAUCAUGACCUCAAAUCAAGCAAGAAUACCCGCUGAACUUAA
This 551-nucleotide ribosomal RNA is filed under the name uncultured Archaeospora. RNAcentral's name for it is "eukaryotic LSU rRNA". The stretch from base 139 to 292 matches the Rfam family "5.8S ribosomal RNA". Lineage: Eukaryota; Fungi; Glomeromycota; Glomeromycetes; Archaeosporales; Archaeosporaceae. The record is from RNAcentral.